Tribolium madens (black flour beetle) is the source of this 1167-nucleotide long non-coding RNA. RefSeq lists it as uncharacterized. The transcript is spliced from 3 exons. Lineage: Eukaryota; Metazoa; Arthropoda; Insecta; Coleoptera; Tenebrionidae. The record is from RefSeq and is a predicted model, not a curated record.
GAUAUGGCGAUGUUGAAAUAAAUUCAAGAAAAUUCAAGAAAAUUUGUUUUAGUUUUCCUGCAGAUUUAUUGUUGUGUGGUGUUAAAAUAAAACCGAGGGGCUCUAGUGGUCACUGCACUUGAACAACCAUGCAAUCCAUGUCGAAGCCAGAAAUGUUUUAAGAAAAAGUCUCGCGCCACACUCCCGAAGAAGGCCGCUUCAGAAGCACAAACACAAGUGUUAAGGAUAAGUGGACUCUGAACGUGUCCUUACGCCACGAAGGAUACCGAAGGAGUGAAGGCGUCUAGCUAAGACAUGGGUUUAAGGCGCUCCUUUGGGGAAAGACGGCGCCGUUGCAGGAGGCCUGCCGACGACUGACACAAGACGUCGCAGGGGAACGACGCGCGCCGACGUCUGCCAUCCCCACCCCCCAGAUUCGCCACGCCCCCGGAGGGGAAGCCCUAAUUAAGUCGUAUUUUUAAGUAGCUACUAAGAUUUUUAAAGAACGACUCUCGGUUUCAUUGUUUAUUAACGCUGUUCGCACCCGGAAAACGACCCGCGCCUGAAACUGUUCCGGGCAGCGCUACGGCGCGAUUUGCGCUCAUCCUCAGACUUACGCAAAAAUUAGCGACAAAUCACGUGCAAUUUAAAUAAGAAAUAAAUAUGUCAUCGAGUCAUACUUCAGCGUAUUUUAGCUUGAUGGUGGCAUUACUUUCUAUGUGUUUCAUUGUUUUUAUAUCGGGAUUCUCUCUACAAUAAGCACAAAAAACUCGAUGCGAUAGAAAACUGAAGUAUGGUUCGAUAACUUUAAAUCAGGCUUUUAGUAGUUUUGUAUUGAAAGAGGGAUGGUUUUGUCUGAAUCGAUGGAAUAGCUAUUGGAAAAAUAUUAUUCUAGGAUUUGAGAUUGCACACUGAAUGAUAAAUGGAAAAGAAUUGUGGUUAAACUCGUGCUCGGGGAUCGACGGACACUUCACCAACAAGAAUCCCUUUUUUUAACGUUACUUCACGUUAGCAAGAGCUAUUUAAAUAUUGUGUAUUAAGUUGUUUAUUAAUUGUUUAAACAGUCUUUUCACAUUCACUUUUUUAAUAAUGUCCAUCGUGAAAAAUUCCCAAAAAAAAUUAAACCCCGAACACGAAUUUUAAUUUGUUUACUCACAAUUUUAUUCCUGUUCACUUGAUGAUUUUUAU